GACGAACGCUGGCGGCGUGCCUAAUACAUGCAAGUAGAACGCUGAAGGAGGAGCUUGCUUCUCUGGAUGAGUUGCGAACGGGUGAGUAACGCGUAGGUAACCUGCCUGGUAGCGGGGGAUAACUAUUGGAAACGAUAGCUAAUACCGCAUAAGAGUAGAUGUUGCAUGACAUUUGCUUAAAAGGUGCAAUUGCAUCACUACCAGAUGGACCUGCGUUGUAUUAGCUAGUUGGUGGGGUAACGGCUUACCAAGGCGACGAUACAUAGCCGACCUGAGAGGGUGAUCGGCCACACUGCGCCUGAGACACGGCCCAGACUGCUCCAGGAGGAAGCAGUAGGGAAUCUUCGGCAAUGGACGGAAGUCUGACCGAGCAGCGCCGCGUGAGUGAGGAGGGUUUUCGGAUCGUAGAGCUCUGUUGUAAGAGAAGAACGAGUGUGAGAGUGGAAAGUUCACACUGUGACGGUAUCUUGCCAGAAAGGGACGGCUAACUACGUG
Molecule: ribosomal RNA, 495 nt
Filed under: uncultured bacterium
Lineage: Bacteria
Description: partial 16S ribosomal RNA
Rfam family: Bacterial small subunit ribosomal RNA
Source: RNAcentral